CUAAACUUCUGAACGCUCAUGGACCUGAAAACACUCUAAAACAAACUCCAAACACAUAUAAAAGACUCAAUAAAUAACGUAUACCAUGACCUAAAUGUGGUAAAAUCCUUGGUAUAUCAACUCCCCCGGACUUAUCAUUUUGUUUGUCCACAAGCAAAACACAAAAUAAAACGGGAGGGACUCAGACAAUUUUUUAAACUAUUACCUUCACCUCUAUAAUGUUAAAAGUGGUAGUGAAUCAAUGCCAACCUCAAAAGUGUUUCAAUGUAUUACUCUCUAGCUUAGAAACCAUACCAUACAUCACACAACUCCACUAAUAGCGCCUGACGUACCCCUCUACUGACCUCAUUUCUGUAGUAUAUGUGUAGGCUAAAUCUUUGGAGUAUCGAUCAAAGUACACAUGAACUCUUAUUUAAAAAUGUAUCUGAACACACAAGCAGUCUUCUGAGAUCCCUUUACCCUCUCUUUCUCUCUUCUCUGAAUCUUUUUUAUCUUAAUCAAAUGGACAGUGAUGCUGCUACAGUCUAUCUUAUUCAUCUUAUUUUCGAUUUUUUUUUUAUUUUUUUAUUUAUUUUUGACAGAGUGUAGGCGAAUAGUAGGGUCAUAAGUAAUAUACAUAUCCCUCGCUUCCAACGAUGUGUAAUCAUUCCUUUGAAUUAGAAUAGUGGGGUUAUAGGAAAUUUUUCUACCCCUCUACAUCUCUGGAAGUCAUCUCAAUCUUUUCUUUUCUAGAUGCCAAAGAGAGGGGAGAGUGGAACCAGAAAUACACAGACUUUUAUCUUCAAGACUUGUAGAGUAAUCGGAUCCACUGUAUAUCAAACCCCAAAUUAAGCAAGUUAAGUUGAUUGAAGUUGGAAGUCAGCUUUGGCUCUCCAGACAUUCUCACCAGAUGUGGAUGUUAGUGGCAGAUGAUCUACUGUUGUGUCUCCAUCUAGUACACCUUGCAGUCAGAAAAUCUAAAAUGGUAUUAGAGAGUGGUUAGAUAAUAAGUAAAAAUUGAAAAAAUUCAUCAUUCCCUUCUUGACUCAAUAAAACUUAAUAAAAACUCAUAGAAAUAAAAUUCAAAAUAAAACACAAUAUCAGUAAUACGUCCCACAGGCUUUAACAACACUGUCUCCAGUGUUAUACAAUCCGAGAUUGUUGAAUAAAAUAAAUCAUACGGAAAAAUUUAACAAGAAAAAUCGAGUUGUACAUGCUGUAUGAUGAUGAGCAUCGGUCAACAUUGAUCAGGUAUCCCCAAUACUCGGGUAAAGUGGUGUCGAUUGAUACUUAUCAUGUGUCGGUCGAUCGAUACUGGUAUAUCAACUCUUUUGAUGAACAGUGUAUGUGAUACAGUGACGUUCGACACUGCUACAGUUCAUCAAAUUUUUUCCUGAAAUAAAUAAACGCGAAAAUUAGUAUAAAAUAAAAAUUAGAUAAAAUUAAAAGUCAUCUAAGAAUGUAUUUCCUCCCACUCAGCGCUUAUUUUCAGUCAUUAUAUUGACUUAUAGAUAUCAGAUGUGAUGUAGACGAGAACGUGAACUUGCUCCAAAAGAAGUCUCAAUAUCUACUUUUUAAGCUUCA
This 1563-nucleotide long non-coding RNA is filed under the name Brassica rapa (field mustard). RNAcentral describes it as "long non-coding RNA (BRAP_LNC004422)". Lineage: Eukaryota; Viridiplantae; Streptophyta; Magnoliopsida; Brassicales; Brassicaceae. The record is from RNAcentral.